RNAcentral lists this ribosomal RNA (301 nucleotides) under uncultured bacterium. RNAcentral's name for it is "partial 16S ribosomal RNA". It matches the Rfam family "Bacterial small subunit ribosomal RNA", at positions 509 to 807 of the family's 1533-position model. The record is from RNAcentral.
CAGUCGCCGCGGUAAUACGUAGGGUGCAAGCGUUAAUCGGAAUUACUGGGCGUAAAGCGUGCGCAGGCGGUUUGUUAAGACAGAUGUGAAAUCCCCGGGCUUAACCUGGGAACUGCAUUUGUGACUGGCAAGCUAGAGUAUGGCAGAGGGGGGUGGAAUUCCGCGUGUAGCAGUGAAAUGCGUAGAUAUGCGGAGGAACACCGAUGGCGAAGGCAGCCCCCUGGGCCAAUACUGACGCUCAUGCACGAAAGCGUGGGGAGCAAACAGGAUUAGAUACCCCGGUAGUCCCUGUCUCUUAUAC